RNAcentral lists this long non-coding RNA (815 nucleotides) under Homo sapiens (human). Its description in RNAcentral is "non-protein coding lnc-FOXD2-4:1". Lineage: Eukaryota; Metazoa; Chordata; Mammalia; Primates; Hominidae. The record is from RNAcentral.
AGAUGGAGUGAGCUGUGAUCAUACUACGCAGUCCAGCCUGGGCGACAGAAUGAACGUUUGUUUCCUAGGAACAUUUUCAAACCUAUGUAGAAGUAGAAAGAGCAGUACAAUGAGCCCCGUAGUGAAACUCCGUCUCAAAAAAAACCAAAACAAUAACAAUUUUCAGCCACCCUCAGUGAUCUGUGCUUUCCUGAGUGUCCCACUUUCUUUCCUCUGGGCCUUUGCAUAUGAUGUUCCCUUGGCUUGGAAUUCCUUCUUUCAAAGGGUACCCCUUGCCAUGUGUUUGGCUAUUCCUGAGGGAGCUUUAUUUCUGAAGCCCAACAGAUAUCGAUGCCUUCCUCUGGUCUUCCAUGGCCUCAUAUGUCCCACUAUUUCAGGAUGUAGCACUGCGCUGCAAUUGUUCAGGGCCUGUCCCUCUGCUUGGGUCACCUCUCCGAAUCCAAUGCCCAGAGCAGAUCCUGACCCAGACGAGGCUUGAUAAAUGUUUGCUGAAUGACUUUAGAGGGGGCAAAAAUAAAUAUACCAAGCUGUCUGUCCUGAGGUCCCAUCCAGCUUCUAUAGAAGGUACAACACAAAUCUAAGGACAUGACAGCUUGACAGGCAGUGGAGGGUGGUGGUGAUAAGAACAGGCUCUUGAGGCAAGCAGCAUGGGGAUUUGCAAGCUGUGUGAUUUUGGACAAAUUGCAUAACCUAUCUAAGCUUCAGUUUCUUCCCUGGUAAAUGGGAAGAAUAACAGACACUUGAGCAUGAAAUGAAAAAAUGAUGUAAAGCACUUUACACUACACAAGGCACAUAUCUGGCACAUAGUAAAGGCC